This 915-nucleotide ribosomal RNA is filed under the name uncultured bacterium. RNAcentral describes it as "bacterial SSU rRNA". It matches the Rfam family "Bacterial small subunit ribosomal RNA", at positions 8 to 916 of the family's 1533-position model. The record is from RNAcentral.
AGAGUUUGAUCCUGGCUCAGAUUGAACGCUGGCGGCAGGCUUAACACAUGCAAGUCGAGCGGAAACGAUGAUAGCUUGCUAUCAGGCGUCGAGCGGCGGACGGGUGAGUAAUACUUAGGAAUCUACCUAGUAGUGGGGGAUAGCUCGGGGAAACUCGAAUUAAUACCGCAUACGACCUACGGGAGAAAGGGGGCAACUUGUUGCUCUCGCUAUUAGAUGAGCCUAAGUCGGAUUAGCUAGAUGGUGGGGUAAAGGCCUACCAUGGCGACGAUCUGUAGCUGGUCUGAGAGGAUGAUCAGCCACACCGGGACUGAGACACGGCCCGGACUCCUACGGGAGGCAGCAGUGGGGAAUAUUGGACAAUGGGGGCAACCCUGAUCCAGCCAUGCCGCGUGUGUGAAGAAGGCCUUUUGGUUGUAAAGCACUUUAAGCAGUGAAGAAGACUCCAUGGUUAAUACCCAUGGACGAUGACAUUAGCUGCAGAAUAAGCACCGGCUAACUCUGUGCCAGCAGCCGCGGUAAUACAGAGGGUGCAAGCGUUAAUCGGAAUUACUGGGCGUAAAGCGAGCGUAGGUGGCUUGAUAAGUCAGAUGUGAAAUCCCCGGGCUUAACCUGGGAACUGCAUCUGAUACUGUUAGGCUAGAAUAGGUGAGAGGAAGGUAGAAUUCCAGGUGUAGCGGUGAAAUGCGUAGAGAUCUGGAGGAAUACCGAUGGCGAAGGCAGCCUUCUGGCAUCAUAUUGACACUGAGGUUCGAAAGCGUGGGUAGCAAACAGGAUUAGAUACCCUGGUAGUCCACGCCGUAAACGAUGUCUACUAGUCGUUGGGUCCCUUGAGGACUUAGUGACGCAGCUAACGCAAUAAGUAGACCGCCUGGGGAGUACGGCCGCAAGGUUAAAACUCAAAUGAAUUGACGG